UGAAAAGUGGGGAAAUACAAUUGAACUUUGUCAACAACGAAAAAGGAAGCAUUACAGUUUCAUGCCCUUAAAAGUCCACACACCUUUAGAGAGAGAUUAUCUUCAAAUGCAGUAUAACUUUCCUUCAGACCUUUUUGCUAACAAAGCACCAGAAAUUACUUCCUGCCAUCGAGCAGUUGCACUAAAUUAUGGAAUUAGUGCAAAUUCAGCAAUAACAUCAUCAACAAUACUUUACAGUACCCAAAAGAUUUACAGUACAAAGUUGUCAGCAUGGACAACACCCAUUAAAGCACUGCACAUGAAGAGGACCUUAGAGAAAUACCACCAAAACACUAACAUUAAUGCCAGAUUCAAAACUCUUCAAAAAGAUUACCUUCAAUAACUAAUGCUGACACAAGUACAAAACAAUUUCUUUUUUUGCUUUCCUUCCAGCUUGUGUGUAUCAUAUAAUGUAUCAUAUAAAAGUCAAACAAUGUAUCAUGACACAAAUAACUGAACAGUUAAAACAACAACGAAUUGC
Molecule: long non-coding RNA, 520 nt
Filed under: Panax ginseng (ginseng)
Lineage: Eukaryota; Viridiplantae; Streptophyta; Magnoliopsida; Apiales; Araliaceae
Description: long non-coding RNA (PGIN_LNC012468)
Source: RNAcentral